This 263-nucleotide unclassified non-coding RNA is filed under the name plant metagenome. Its description in RNAcentral is "partial contains small subunit ribosomal RNA, internal transcribed spacer 1, and 5.8S ribosomal RNA". The record is from RNAcentral.
UUUCCGUAGGUGAACCUGCGGAAGGAUCAUUAUUGUAUAACCGAGGUGCGAGGGCUGUCGCUGACCCGAAAGGUCGUGCACGCCCGAGUGCCCUCACACACAUCUAUCCCACCCCUAUGUGGACCACCGCGUGGGUCCCCCUUUGGCUUGUUCGGAGGGGGGCUUACGUUUUCACACAAACUUUGUAUGAAGUGUAGAAUGUAUUUUUUGUUUUUGCGAUCACGCAAUCAAUACAACUUUCAACAACGGAUCUCUUGGCUCUC